This 236-nucleotide long non-coding RNA is filed under the name Homo sapiens (human). RNAcentral's name for it is "HSALNT0196367". Lineage: Eukaryota; Metazoa; Chordata; Mammalia; Primates; Hominidae. The record is from RNAcentral.
CUCGAACUCCUGUCCUCAGGUGAUCUGCCCGCCUCGGCCUCCCAAAGUGCUGGGAUCACAGCCGUGAGCACCGUGCCCAGCCAAGUGUGCAUGUUUUCAAUCUCUCCCUGUUCUGAUGCUCAGAGUUGACAACUACACAAACACUGCAACUGGCUUUGCUUUUUGUCCUGAUGGUAUCUCACAAGGCUUCCCUAAUGCAGGCAGUCUUGUUUUCUAGACAAUCUACCAACCCUAGC